RNAcentral lists this long non-coding RNA (213 nucleotides) under Solanum tuberosum (potato). Its description in RNAcentral is "long non-coding RNA (STUB_LNC008720)". The record is from RNAcentral. Lineage: Eukaryota; Viridiplantae; Streptophyta; Magnoliopsida; Solanales; Solanaceae.
AAAUAUUUGUAUUGUAUAAUUAUAAGUGUAUAGGACGAAGAUAUAUGUAAUUGCAUGUGUAUAUACAAUUUUCUCUCGCUUUAUACAAACAGAAGCGCAAUUUAUACAUUUCGUUUCUGUUUGUAUAAGCGAGAGAGGCGAGGGUGGCGAGCGAGAUUUGGGAGAGUGGCGAGCGAGAUCUGGGAGAGGGGAACGAAAAUAUAUGUAUAUAUA